RNAcentral lists this ribosomal RNA (521 nucleotides) under uncultured bacterium. Its description in RNAcentral is "bacterial SSU rRNA". It matches the Rfam family "Archaeal small subunit ribosomal RNA", at positions 345 to 866 of the family's 1478-position model. The record is from RNAcentral.
AACCUCCGCAAUGUGAGAAAUCGCGACGGGGGGAUCCCAAGUGCCAUUCUUAACGGGAUGGCUUUUCAUUAGUGUAAAGAGCUUUUGGAAUAAGAGCUGGGCAAGACCGGUGCCAGCCGCCGCGGUAACACCGGCAGCUCUAGUGGUAACAAUUUUUAUUGGGCCUAAAGCGUCCGUAGCCGGUUUAAUAAGUCUCUGGUGAAAUCCUGCAGCUUAACUGUGGGAAUUGCUGGAGAUACUAUUAGACUUGAGACCGGGAGAGGUUAGAGGUACUCCCAGGGUAGAGGUGAAAUUCUGUAAUCCUGGGAGGACCGCCUGUUGCGAAGGCGUCUAACUGGAACGGUUCUGACGGUGAGGGACGAAAGUUAGGGGCGCGAACCGGAUUAGAUACCCGGGUAGUCCUAACUGUAAACGAUGCGGACUUGGUGUUGGGGUGGCUUUGAGCUGCUCCAGUGCCGAAGGGAAGCUGUUAAGUCCGCCGCCUGGGAAGUACGGUCGCAAGACUGAAACUUAAAGGAAUU